This 74-nucleotide transfer RNA is filed under the name bacterium. RNAcentral's name for it is "tRNA-Met". It matches the Rfam family "tRNA". Rfam says of the family: Transfer RNA (tRNA) molecules are approximately 80 nucleotides in length. Their secondary structure includes four short double-helical elements and three loops (D, anti-codon, and T loops). The record is from RNAcentral.
GGCGGGAUAGCUCAGCUGGUUAGAGCGCAGGAUUCAUAAUCCUGAGGUCGGGGGUUCGAGCCCCCCUCCCGCUA